GUACCGGUGCGUACCGGCCCGCUUCAAGCACUGCUAGUUAUGCUAAGGGACUAAAUAACGGACUUUUUAGGUAUCGUCUCUGGAGGAUAACGUUUGCCAGCUGAAGCUUGCCCUUCAAGAGGAGCAGCAGAAGACUAGGCAGCUGUCUAUGACCAUGCAGAUGGAAAUUGACCAGGCCAAAGCUUUGGUCCAGUCACAGGAAGUCCAGCUUCAGCGGGAUGCAGAAGAGCAGAGGAGGAUGUUUGAGGAGCUGCAGGGCAUCCAGAACAUCCUCAGCACCACCAAACAAGAGCUGCUGUCCCAGAGGAGAAACAACACACAACUGCAAAACAGCAUCACUGACACCGAGCAGGAAAACCUCAGGCUCCAACAAAACAUUGAAGACUUGAGGAACAGACUAACCAGCUAUCAACAGGAGACCGACUCUCUGAGGACAGAACUUCAGCUAGCUCUAGUCAGAGUGGACGCUGAGAGAAGUAAAUACAACGACAAGCGAAUCCACUACAAAAACAAGCUGAGCCGGGCCAGAGGGGUUUACCUGAGAGAGACGGGGUGGCGUGACGAAAAAAUAAAAGACCUGGAGAAAGAGGUUUUUAUUGUGGGGAAACAGGAGGAAAAGACGGCACAGAUGAUGAAGACGGUCACAUCUGAAAAUGAGAGUCUGCUUCAGAAGAACAGAGAGCUUCUUUUACAGCUGCAUGACUUUGAAGAGGCACAGAAAAAUGCUUCGGAUGUGAUUUCCACCAUGCAGAUGAGGAUAAAUUUGCUUGAAGAAGAAAAUAUUCAGCUGAAGCAGACAACAGCACAAAUGUCGGAGCGCAUGGAAUGCCUGAUGAUACUGGCCGAGACGAACUGCGAUGCAAGUACAAUCCUUGAACAAGAAGUCACUGCCGAGAGUCGUGUCAUAGAGGGCGAAGACCAAACUACUCUUCCUACAUAAAUAUCUUCAGUUUUCUUUCCAGUGUAAAUUAAAUUAUUUUUGUAAACCUAAAUAUUUCUAAAUAAAGGUCUCAUCCCAUU
Long non-coding RNA from Sinocyclocheilus anshuiensis, 1020 nucleotides. The record is from Ensembl. NCBI's taxonomy places the organism in Eukaryota, Metazoa, Chordata, Actinopteri, Cypriniformes, Cyprinidae.